Molecule: long non-coding RNA, 570 nt
Filed under: Sorghum bicolor (sorghum)
Lineage: Eukaryota; Viridiplantae; Streptophyta; Magnoliopsida; Poales; Poaceae
Description: long non-coding RNA (SBIC_LNC002143)
Source: RNAcentral
UGCCAACUUUCUUUUCAGGCCAAUAUAUAGGCACUAUGACUUCUGAUCGAACCAAAUUACCAUUCACAUAGAACUUUAGCUCUGCCCUGGGUAUAUUCAUGUGCAAUGGAAGAAUGCAAGGACCCGAUGAUAGAUGGAAAUGAGAGGUAUCAGGAAAUAGAAUAGCUCAGAAACUUUUCUUGCAAGCUUUGGCUACAAUGUCUGCUCGCAAGACCAUGGGCGCCUGUGAAAGGCCAAGUACAACUGCUGCUCUGGCUCCUCUCGAAGCUCUACCGAAAGGGCUCCUGCAAAACUGCUUCACCGGUGGACCAGCAACGCACAGCCAAAAGAAUAGUGGCGCUUCUCUCAGCUCCGUCGAAGUUCGCAAAACCAAAGAACUGUUUUCCCCCAAUUUGGGGAUUUGAAUUUCUUACUGUUUUGCUUAAAUUCAUCUUUUUCCAGUACAAAUCAGCUCUGAGUCCUUAAAGAUGAUUUGUAGAGCCUUUAAUUUUCAACAAACCAUAUUUUGGCCAAAUUUCAAGUUUUGUUCAAAAUUUUGGUUUAUUUUUGAAUUCAGUAGAGAGGGGAUAG